AUCCCAUGGUGAGGCCAUCUACGAAGUAAUUCCUUGAAUCUUUCUCAUGCCUCGUAUAAGGACUUGUCAUCCAAUUCUUGAAAGGUGGUGAUCUCAUUUCGUAACUU
This is a non-coding RNA of Gossypium hirsutum (cotton), 107 nucleotides long. NCBI's taxonomy places the organism in Eukaryota, Viridiplantae, Streptophyta, Magnoliopsida, Malvales, Malvaceae. The record is from Rfam.